Molecule: long non-coding RNA, 479 nt
Filed under: Mytilus galloprovincialis (Mediterranean mussel)
Lineage: Eukaryota; Metazoa; Mollusca; Bivalvia; Mytilida; Mytilidae
Source: RNAcentral
GUUUAAUGUUGACGGUUUCUCUCUCUAUCUACUAUAUUUUUACCCAAAAUCGCAAAAGUGGGAAAAAGGAGUCGACGAUCAUUCCAAUGAAACUUUUUCGUCUAAAAAUAUUGAAGUGAUAAAUCAUUCUUUUACUCGUGUCAAGCAUUAGGUUUUGAAUAAAAUGAGAUAUGAAAUAUAGUUUGAUGAGGCAGAAAAAAACCAAAGACAAAGAGAAAUCAAGUAACUAGAGUCCACCUUUAGACUUUUACAUGUUAUAAAACCAAAGACAAAGGGAAAUCAAGUUACUAGAGUCAACAUUCAGACUUAUACAUGUUAUAAUAGACUGAUUCCUCAAAAUCAAGCUCGAAAUCGCCCAAUGACUGAAAAUAAAUGAGUUCAUUUACCAUCACUUGCCUUCGUACUUUAUUUGGCCUUUUUAACACUUUUCGAUUCGAGCGUCACUGAUGAGUCUUUUGUAGACGAAACGCGCGUCUGGC